RNAcentral lists this ribosomal RNA (253 nucleotides) under uncultured bacterium. RNAcentral describes it as "partial 16S ribosomal RNA". It matches the Rfam family "Bacterial small subunit ribosomal RNA", at positions 524 to 776 of the family's 1533-position model. The record is from RNAcentral.
UACGUAGGUGGCAAGCGUUGUCCGGAUUUAUUGGGUUUAAAGGGUGCGUAGGCGGCCUUUUAAGUCAGUGCUGAAAUACUCUAGCUUAACUAGAGGGGUGGCAUUGAUACUGAAAGGCUUGAGUGAAGUCGAAGUAGGCGGAAUUGACGGUGUAGCGGUGAAAUGCUUAGAUAUCGUCAAGAACACCUAUAGCGAAGGCAGCUUACUAGGCUGUAACUGACGCUGAGGCACGAAAGUGUGGGGAUCAAACAGG